Molecule: long non-coding RNA, 867 nt
Filed under: Phaseolus vulgaris (common bean)
Lineage: Eukaryota; Viridiplantae; Streptophyta; Magnoliopsida; Fabales; Fabaceae
Description: long non-coding RNA (PVUL_LNC004688)
Source: RNAcentral
GAAAUUAGAGGAAAUUUUGGAUCUAGCCUUUUGUUGUGAAUAGUUUUUUGUUUCAAUUAAAGAAUUAGGCAUAGCAUUGUUGUGAAAGACAAUUUGUCUUGCGAUGCACUAAAAGUUUGAUUUAUUUCAGAUUCCUAAUCCACCUUAUAUAUGUUAGAGCUGUCAGAGCUUGCCUUUGAUAUUUAAACAAGUUUUUUAUACAUUUUGCCUUUGCUAUUGUUACACUUUUGCUCCUUAGUUUUAGUUGGCUAUUGUGGGGGCGAGCCCUAGAGGAACGGUAAAGUUAUGACUUGAUCAGGCCUUUACACUGUGCGAAACCUUCAAAGGUACCGUGAUACGAUACUUGAGUUAGCUAUCGUAAUCUCGAUAAAAUCUCAUGACAGUUGAGAAUUUUUAGCAAAUUUCAAAUUGGUCGAAGCCUUUCUUUCUUCAAUUUUUAUCUCUGCUAGUUCCAGUAUUUUGGUUUAUUUUCAAACUGAUACUUAACUGGUACGAAGACCUGGCUUCCUAUGUGUUUUGAGGCAAACAAAUUGACCGCAAAUACUGGCAAAGUUGAGCAAUUUAUUUUUCAGGCAUCCGGGUAAAGUAUCUCUACUUCUAGCAAUUCAUCUAUAAUUCCUUUGUUUAAAGGUGAGAUCUACACAUUUGGAAUCAUGCAACCAGAAUUCUGAGGUUGCUGGCCAAGAAUAAGAAACUAUAAAACCACACAUUUUAUAGUUUGAAGCAAGCAGAAUUUACUCUUAAUCCAACUUGGAUUCAGGAUUGAAAAUGAAACUAAUCUGCAUUUGAAACAAAAUGAUUGUGAUUUGUAAACUUGCACUCUUUAUGUUGUUAACAUGGUUGUGAUAUGAAGUAAUUUACUUUUGC